CCUACGGGUGGCAGCAGUAGGGAAUAUUGCUCAAUGGGGGAAACCCUGAAGCAGCAACGCCGCGUGGAGGAUGAAGGUUUUCGGAUUGUAAACUACUUUUGUUAGAGAAGAUAAUGUUGGUAUCUAACGAAUAAGCAACGGCUAACACCGUGCCAGCAGCCGCGGUAUUACGGAGGGUGCAAGCGUUACUCGGAAUGACUGGGGGUAAAGAGCGCGGAGGCGGGAUAGCAAGUCAGAUGUGAAAUCCUAUGGCUUAACCAUAGAACUGCAUUUGAAACUGUUAGUCUAGAGUCUGGGAGAGGUAGGUAGAAUUCGAGGUGUAGGGGUAAAAUCCGUAGAGAUCUAGAGGAAUACUCAUGGCGAAGGCGACCUGCUAGAACAUGACUGACGCUGAUGCGCGAAAGCGUGGGGAGCAAACAGGAUUAGAUACCCUGGUAGUC
Molecule: ribosomal RNA, 440 nt
Filed under: uncultured bacterium
Lineage: Bacteria
Description: partial 16S ribosomal RNA
Rfam family: Bacterial small subunit ribosomal RNA
Source: RNAcentral